GAACACUACAAGCAAUAGCUUAAAACUCAAAGGACUUGGCGGUGCUUUAUAUACCUCUAGAGGAGCCUGUUCUAUAAUGGAUAAACCCUGAUUUACCUCAUCAUCUUUUGCUCAGCCUAUAUACCAUCAUCUUCAGCAAACCCUAGUAAAGGCCAUAAAGUAAGCACAAGUAUCUACGUAAAAACGUUAGGUCAAGGUGUAGCCCGUGGGGCGCUAAGAAAUGGGCUACAUUUUCUACACCCAGAAAAUCUCACGACAACCCUUAUGGAAUCUAAGGGCUCAAGUAGGAUUUAGCAGUAUAUUAAGAGCAGAGUGCUUAAUUGAAUGAGGCCAUAAAGCAUGUACACACUGCCCGUCACCCUCCUCAAAUAUUACUUUAGAGAUUAGUUUAACUAAAACCCCUACAUAUUUAUAUAGAAGAGACAAGUCAUAACAUGGUAAGUAUACUGGAAAGUGCACUUG
Molecule: non-coding RNA, 462 nt
Organism: Macaca mulatta (Rhesus monkey)
Lineage: Eukaryota; Metazoa; Chordata; Mammalia; Primates; Cercopithecidae
Source: Rfam